GCCGAUCCGAGCGGAGCCGAGGCGUCGUUGGGAUCUUUGCCGCUGCCUGCUUUCUUUGCACCUUUACCUUUUCUCUUUCAAUCUUUGCUUUUUACUCUGCUCAUCGUUCCGGCAAGCGGGACCUGGUGCUCUCAUAUUCAGCAUGAAACUUGUGUUCUUCAUAGCCUUGGUGGGCACCUUGGCGCGAGGUAACCUGUCGCUACCUGUUGGACAAGAACAAUCGAGAGGCGACUUGGCGGCGCGCUGCGUGGUUCAAGUGCUGUCGAAAGCGCUCUCCCAGCCUGCCAGCGCUGCUCCUGUGGACCCACAGUGCAGAGACUUCCUGAGGGCAGGGAUGAAACAUGACGCAGCUGAGAAAAAAGGUGAAGAAGAGGUUGUUCAUUUAACAGGAACUGAAAGUCAGGAACAGAAUGAGUUUGAAAGGCAAGCUGAAGGAACAGCUGUAACAGAGAAGGAUGCACAUGAGCCCAGGAGCACUGAGAACAUGUUAAAGGCAGAGGAUAAGCGGCAGAGCCUUCAAAACACAGGGAGUCAAGAGAGUAUCACAAGCGUGGAAGAGAAAAAGAGUACAGAUGCUCUAACAACGGGUGAAAAAGAUGAUGAAGAAGAGAGAGUAUCUGGGCGCAGUCACCACAGCAGUUCAGAGCACAGACUAAGAGAUGAAGAGGUCAGUGAGGGAUCUAAACACCAUUAUCUGAAGAACACAGAGGAUUCUGAAAAGGAAUGGAGUCAUAUAGAUAGGAGGUCUGAGGAGUUAGAGGAUAGCAGUGAAAAAGAGACACGUAUUUGGAAGCCCAACCAUAAGUACCAUCACAAGAAGCACAAGCGAAGUGAAGAGCCCCUGGGGGAUGAGGAGUCAGAGGAAUCAGAAGAAGAUGAACACGAAGACAGAGAGAAGCGUAUUUGGAAGCCCACUCAUCGAUAUCAUCACAAGAAGAACAGGCGAAAUGAAGAGCCCUUGGAGUCUGAGGAAUCAGAUGAAUCUGAGGAAGGUGAAGAUGAAGACAGAGAAAAACGUGUUUGGAAACCUACUCAUAGAUAUCAUCACAAGAAGCACAAAAGAAAUGAAGUGCCCUUGGAGGAGGAGGAAUCAGAAGAAUCAGAAGAAGAUGAACAUGAAGACAGAGAGAAGCGUAUUUGGAAGCCCACUCAUCGAUAUCAUCACAAGAAGCAUAGGCGAAAUGAAGACCCCUUGGAUGAUGAAGGGUCAGAUGAUCUGGAGGAAGAUGAAAAUGAAGACCAAGAGAAACGUAUUUGGAAGCCCACUCAUAGAUAUCACCACAACAAGCACAGAAGAAAUGAAGACUCUUUAGACGAUAAAGGAUUGGAAGAAUCAGAAGAAAGUGAAAUUGAAGAUAGAGAAAAGCGUAUUUGGAAACCUACUCACAGGCACUUUGACAAAAAACACAAGCGAGAUGAAGAGCCCUUUGAUGAGGUACUUAGUGAAGAGUCAGAGGAAUCUGAGGAAGAUGAACACAGAGAAAAGCGAAUUUGGAAACCUAGCCAUAGAUACCAUCACAAGAAAGGUAAGAAAAACAAGAGGAAUGAAGAUUCUUCUACUGAGGAAUCAGAAGAGCAGAGCUCUCAAGAGAAAAGAUCAGAGGAGUUAGACAACAAUGAAGAAAAGGAGAAACAAAUUUGGAAGCCAACCCAUAGGUACCAUCACAAAAAGCACAAGUGGUCUGAAGACGCUUUUGAAGGACAGAAUGAAGAGCCAGAGGAAGAUGAAGAUGGGGUUGAGCAUCUUUGGAACCCUGCAUUUAAAACUCAGCAUCUAAAGCACAAACGGAACAGAGAUUCUUUUGAAGAUGAAGAUGUGGAAGACAUGGAAAGGAGUUCAGAAUUUGCAGAAGACAGACAUGACAAGGAGAAGAGAAUUUGGAAACCUACUCAUCGAUAUCACCAUAAGAAGAACAGGAGGAGUGAAGACGCAUCAGAGGAAGAGGAGAAAAAGAAUUAUGAAAGUGAUGAGGAUGACACUGAUGAAUCACAGUCCGGCAGGGAAAAGAAAAAUCAGUCAAGUGACCUACCUGAGGAAGUCUACAAGCGACAUGACCUGGAGGAUAAUGAAGAGCUCAACAAAAGGCAUCACCUGUCAGAUAGCAGCCAUUAUUAUAAAAGGUACCACAAUGAAGAUGAAAAACAAAGUGAAGAAGAUGACAACUUGAAGGCUCUUGAAUAUUUGGCAAAGAAGAGGAAUGAGGCUGAUUUGCUGAGCGAGGAGGAGAUGCAAGUGAAGAGAUCCCCCUGGGAGUACAAGGGCUACUACCACCCUGCGUGGUGGAAGCGAAGCCCUCUGAGAAGCGGAAACCAGCUAGAGCAGGACAUGUGGGACAGUAGACAGGCUGCCCUGGAGGUUUUCCCUAACCACAUUCAGGAGAAGAGACAAUACCCAGGCAACAAAAUUGAUGAACUUGCUAAAUUCCUGAACUACAAGAAAGCAGAGUUUUCUGGUCUGCUGGAGCCUGAAGAAAAAAGAAGUCUUCAUCAGAGACCUCUUACCCCAGAGGAGGAGAAGGAACUUGAGAACUUGGCAGCAAUGGACAUGGAGCUACAAAAAAUUGCAGAGAAGAUUCAUGAGAAUCAGCAAGAGUAACAUAAAUGUUAUUAAAUAAUGCCUGAGCCAAUACAGACUUACAUAAACACAGCGAGCUGUUCGUUUACACUAGUUUUUAAACUUUCCAGUUUAAAGCGGUGGUCUGACACUAAUAGAAAACAGUUUUCUUGUGCAAUUUUAAUGUUAAAAAAUAUCUGGCAUGAGAAUUGUUUAGUACUAGAGACAUAUAUAUCAUGUAUGGCUAAUUUGUAUAUGUUUUUGAAUAAUGUGUUCUUGACAUGCCUGUUUUUCUGCAUUAAAUAAAUCAUCCUGGGACCAAAAUCA
RNAcentral lists this long non-coding RNA (2881 nucleotides) under Scleropages formosus (Asian bonytongue). RNAcentral describes it as "lncRNA (ENSSFOG00015008452.2)". The record is from RNAcentral. Lineage: Eukaryota; Metazoa; Chordata; Actinopteri; Osteoglossiformes; Osteoglossidae.